Molecule: ribosomal RNA, 484 nt
Filed under: uncultured bacterium
Lineage: Bacteria
Description: partial 16S ribosomal RNA
Rfam family: Bacterial small subunit ribosomal RNA
Source: RNAcentral
AUUGAACGCUGGCGGCAGGCCUAACACAUGCAAGUCGAGCGGAUGAAGGGAGCUUGCUCCUGGAUUCAGCGGCGGACGGGUGAGUAAUGCCUAGGAAUCUGCCUGGUAGUGGGGGAUAACUUCCGGAAACGGGCGCUAAUACCCCAUCCUUCCUGAGGGAGAAAUUGGGGGAUCUUCGGACCUCACGCUUUCAUAUGAGCCUAGGUCGGAUUAGCUAGUUGGUGGGUUAAAGGCCUACCAAGGCGACGAUCCGUAACUGGUCUGAGAGGAUGAUCAGUCACACUGGAACUGAGACACGGUCCAGACUCCUACGGGAGGCAGCAGUGGGGAAUAUUGGACAAUGGGCGAAAGCCUGAUCCAGCCAUGCCGCGUGUGUGAAGAAGGUCUUCGGAUUGUAAAGCACUUUAAGUUGGGAGGAAGGGCAGUAAGUUAAUACCUUGCUGUUUUGACGUUACCAACAGAAUAAGCACCGGCUAACUUCGUG